Molecule: ribosomal RNA, 666 nt
Filed under: uncultured bacterium
Lineage: Bacteria
Description: bacterial SSU rRNA
Rfam family: Bacterial small subunit ribosomal RNA
Source: RNAcentral
UCAUUCGGUAGCAAUACCGGAGAAGACCAAGUGGCGAACGGGUGAGUAACACGUGAGCAACCUACCCCGAAGACUGGGACAACACCGGGAAACCGGUGCUAAUACCGGAUACCCCCAUUGGACCGCAUGGUCUGAUGAGGAAAUGGAUUCCGCUUCGGGAGGGGCUCGCGGCCUAUCAGCUAGUUGGUGAGGUAACGGCUCACCAAGGCAUCGACGGGUAGCUGGUCUGAGAGGACGAUCAGCCACACUGGGACUGAGACACGGCCCAGACUCCUACGGGAGGCAGCAGUGGGGAAUCUUGCACAAUGGGCGAAAGCCUGAUGCAGCAACGCCGCGUGAGGGACGAAGGCUUUCUGAGUUGUAAACCUCUUUCAGCAGGGACGAUGAUGACGGUACCUGCAGAAGAAGCCCCGGCCAACUACGUGCCAGCAGCCGCGGUAAUACGUAGGGGGCAAGCGUUGUCCGGAUUUAUUGGGCGUAAAGAGCUCGUAGGCGGCUUGGCAAGUCGGAUGUGAAACCUCCAGGCUUAACCUGGAGUCGCCAUUCGAUACUGCUAUGGCUAGAGUUUGGUAGGGGACCACGGAAUUCCUGGUGUAGCGGUGAAAUGCGCAGAUAUCAGGAGGAACACCAGCGGCGAAGGCGGUGGUCUGGGCCAAUACUGACGCU